Molecule: ribosomal RNA, 447 nt
Filed under: uncultured bacterium
Lineage: Bacteria
Description: partial 16S ribosomal RNA
Rfam family: Bacterial small subunit ribosomal RNA
Source: RNAcentral
CCUACGGGAGGCAGCAGUCGAGAAUCAUUCACAAUGGGGGAAACCCUGAUGGUGCGACGCCGCGUGGGGGAAUGAAGGUCUUCGGAUUGUAAACCCCUGUCAUGUGGGAGCAAAUUAAAAAGAUAGUACCACAAGAGGAAGAGACGGCUAACUCUGUGCCAGCAGCCGCGGUAAUACAGAGGUCUCAAGCGUUGUUCGGAAUCACUGGGCGUAAAGCGUGCGUAGGCUGUUUCGUAAGUCGUGUGUGAAAGGCGCGGGCUCAACCCGCGGACGGCACAUGAUACUGCGAGACUAGAGUAAUGGAGGGGGAACCGGAAUUCUCGGUGUAGCAGUGAAAUGCGGAGAUAUCGAGAGGAACACUUGUGGCGAAGGCGGGUUCCUGGACAUUAACUGACGCUGAGGCACGAAGGCCAGGGGAGCGAAAGGGAUUAGAUACCCCUGUAGGUC